UACGUAGGUGGCAAGCGUUAUCCGGAAUUAUUGGGCGUAAAGCGCGCGUAGGCGGUUUCUUAAGUCUGAUGUGAAAGCCCACGGCUCAACCGUGGAGGGUCAUCGGAAACUGGGAAACUUGAGUGCAGAAGAGGAAAGUGGAAUUCCAUGUGUAGCGGUGAAAUGCGCAGAGAUAUGGAGGAACACCAGUGGCGAAGGCGACUUUCUGGUCUGUAACUGACGCUGAUGUGCGAAAGCGUGGGGAGCGAACAGG
This 253-nucleotide ribosomal RNA is filed under the name uncultured bacterium. RNAcentral's name for it is "partial 16S ribosomal RNA". It matches the Rfam family "Bacterial small subunit ribosomal RNA", at positions 524 to 776 of the family's 1533-position model. The record is from RNAcentral.